AGUGCACGCUGGCGGUAGGCCUAACACAUGCAAGUCGCACGGCAGCACAGAGGAGCUUGCUCCUUGGGUGGCGAGUGGCGGACGGGUGAGGAAUACAUCGGAAUCUACUCUGUCGUGAGGGAUAACGUAGGGAAACUUACGCUAAUACCGCAUACGACCUACGGGUGAAAGCAGCGGAUCUUCGGACCUUGCGCGAUUGAAUGAGCCGAUGUCGGAUUAGCUAGUUGGCGGGGUAAAGGCCCACCAAGGGGACGAUCCGUAGCUGGUCGGCGAGGAUGAUCAGCAACACUGGAAAUGAGACACGGUCCAGACUCCUACGGGAGGCAGCAGUGGGGAAUAUUGGACAAUGGGCGCAAGCCUGAUCCAGCCAUACCGCGUGGGUGAAGAAGGCCUUCGGGUUGUAAAGCCCUUUUGUUGGGAAAGAAAUCCAUCUGGUUAAUACCCGGGUGGGAUGACGGUACCCAAAGAAUAAGCACCGGCUAACUUCGUGCCAGCAGCCGCCGUAA
RNAcentral lists this ribosomal RNA (506 nucleotides) under uncultured bacterium. Its description in RNAcentral is "partial 16S ribosomal RNA". It matches the Rfam family "Bacterial small subunit ribosomal RNA", at positions 29 to 523 of the family's 1533-position model. The record is from RNAcentral.